UCAUCUCCGACAUAUAUAUCGAUUUUCAGUAUUCGGUGAACUGUCUUACUUAGGUCUCUGAAGGCUUAUGCACUUUCUUAGCGGCACUUUCUUAGAAAAUGACAUCCUGUUUCCACGAUUCUUUAUCGUUCCUGAGGUGCAGGUACCAUGAUGUUUAACGAGGAACGGUAUAGGUGUCUAAUUCCAUGUAUAAAUCGGUUAUAAAUUCUUCAAUUUUGAAGCGGUCUUCUUCGGAUAGUGCAGGUUCACAUAUCUACACAUCCGUCAGGCUUUUCAUGUACGUGACACUUUCUCUAGUCUAGUUUCCGAAUUAGAAUCACGCUCAUAUUUCUGGGCAUUGUUUGUUGGUGUUCGAUGAUAAUAUGAUAAAUGUCUUUGUCUUUCAAUCGUUUAAUAUCCAACAACUAAUCUUGGUCUCAUUGAAUUAUCCGGUUCAAUUUUUGUGGAGCAGCAGAUCAGACAGAUUCAUCUCUUAGUGACAACUCUGCUUAUUCUUCCAAAGAAAUAAUAUACUAGUGAAAUAAUUUUAUUCAAUCGAAAUCAGGUUCUUUUGAACUAUAAUCAGGUUUUUUGAUUGACAGACAUUCAAUCUCAACUAAUACGGUUGUCAAACUUUCCCUACCUUAGUUUGCGAGUUAGAAUCGUUCUAAUAUUUCUGGCGACCGUUUAUUUUUUAUUCGACGAUAAUCGUUUUCGUCAAUCGUUCAUUUAAUACCUCUUAGUUAAUUUUCCAAUUGGUUCAAACUAUGGUUUAUACGUUCCCAUACCUUUAUCAGCUUGGCCCUACUGUGAUCAAUGCAGCUAACCCUUCAUAGUUUCGUUUACGAGGUAAUAUCGCUUCCUUCUUUUUUUGUGCGACCGUGUUCUUGGUAUUGAAUGAUACGCGUUUUCGUCAGUCGUUCGUUUAAUAUUCAUUUAUUAAUUUUAUUACUGUUGAAAGUAUGACUUUGGAAGUAGAAUUUACACGUUUCCACAGGUUUGUUACUUUAGACGGGGGAAGUAUAUUUCUGGAGAGUGGAGAUAUAAGAGAUUCACUUCUUGAUUACGAAGGUCCUAUCUGUUCGGAAAAUAGAAAAAAUAUUUUUUCGUGAUCGAAGUUGCGCAACAUGAAAAUUGAACGUGGCUACGGUGAAAUAAACCCCACACUGAAUAUUUGAAUAAAUAAAUAUGCAUUAUCAAGAAGAGUGAGCGAGACAGAUCGAUCGAUUUUCACGAUGUGAAACGUGUGAAAUACGCUUCCACCUUGAAAGACGAUGAAAGUUAAUAAAUACAGGUUACGAUCGAUGUACGUGUUAAUUUGUUAUCGACAAACUAUUGGAUCGAAAAACAGCUGGUUUAGGGACGAAGAAACUUGGUCGAUGUCUGAAGCACUUCUGCAGACAAUUUAUUUAUCCAAUAGGAACGAUGAAACUUUUUCAAGCUUCAAGCUUUGUGAAAAAUAACUCUGUCGAAAACGUCGUAUUGAAACAAUGGGAUACGUCCAGUAGAUAGACGAUCCGUGGAAAUAAAAAGUAACCGUAAGCCUGGGAAAUGGACGCUUCUUACUACUUUAGCGAUUUUCAUUAUUCGAACGAUUUAGUCAAGUAAUAAGUACGUAUUUCUGUUAAAGAGGUGUUAUGUUCAGCUUCAUGGAUUUUUCAAUGCAAGAUUGAAGAAACGCUGUUGAGUGCCGAAGCGUGCAGACGUGUGUCUAGUGCUCUGUGAAGUUCACAAUACAACACGUGACGCCCAUCCGUCGAAAGUGAAUCCAAACAGACAUAAACCAAGUGUUUCUAAACUUACUGGUGGAAAAUCCAACGCUCCUAAUCUCUAAUCCGAAUCAUAGCCUCUCGACUAGUUAUUUCAAAUUGAAUUAACUAGCUCGAAGAUGGCCCAAGUAUCUCGAUCAGGCUCUCUUGAGCAAAACCAUAACUGCACCGCUCUACCUCCUCCGUGGCAAAAGGACAAUAUAUCCCUCCUUUCAAACGACACUAAAAACAUAAAAAAACGUAAGCUAGAAACAGUUAAAAUAAACGCAAACGCUAGCGAGAACGAACAGUCAAUAAGCCGUGUAACGACUUACAAUAGAUUUGCAAUAUUAGAAUCCACAAACGACUCCAUGGACGUAUAAAUUUGUUAAUACUAAUAAUUUGUAAGUUAUGAGUUGCAAAAUCUCUAAUAAUAUUGAUUCAAUUCUGCAAAAGAACCCAAGAGGAAGUCUUCCAAAGCACGGCUCGCUACAUUGUCAUCCACACGGAAAGCCUGACUGACAUGUGAAUACGUGUGAACAGAGCAAUCGUUGAUUGCAAUUACGCUACAUCAUGCCAAACUCGUAGGACGAGCAAUUCGAUCAACUAAUAAGCAAUAUUUUGUAAUUUCUCCUACAUAAAACUGUACUAAAAAGCAAAACAUAUGCACGUAUGAUAUUGAUCAAAUGUAAGAUAAGUUUUCUUAGUGCAUCUAAAUAGUAUACCGGGUCACAGCAAUUAUGUACCUCAAUAGAAUGCUAUCUCGAUCAGUUCCUUAAAAAUUAUAAAUCUAAACUUUGCUAGAAAUAGGUAUACAAAAUAUUAUACUGCUUUCGACACUUCAUUGCAUAUUGUAUCCGCUGUUUUUCACUUCUCAAUUGAAAACUGCAGAAAUCUCAUUGUUUUGUCAAUUAAGAAUACUUUUUUCAAUGUCAUUUAAUUUUUGUAAACUAU
Molecule: long non-coding RNA, 2681 nt
Organism: Bombus impatiens (common eastern bumble bee)
Lineage: Eukaryota; Metazoa; Arthropoda; Insecta; Hymenoptera; Apidae
Exons: 3
Source: RefSeq, a predicted model, not a curated record